CCUACGGGAGGCAGCAGUGGGGAAUAUUGGACAAUGGGGGGAACCCUGAUCCAGCCAUGCCGCGUGUGUGAAGAAGGCCCUCGGGUUGUAAAGCACUUUCAGUGAGGAAGAACGCCUGGUGGUUAAUACCCAUCAGGAAAGACAUCACUCACAGAAGAAGCACCGGCUAACUCCGUGCCAGCAGCCGCGGUAAUACGGGGGGUGCGAGCGUUAAUCGGAAUUACUGGGCGUAAAGCGCGCGUAGGUGGCUUGAUAAGCCGGUUGUGAAAGCCCCGGGCUCAACCUGGGAACGGCAUCCGGAACUGUCAAGCUAGAGUGCAGGAGAGGAAGGUAGAAUUCCCGGUGUAGCGGUGAAAUGCGUAGCGAUCGGGAGGAAUACCAGUGGCGAAGGCGGCCUUCUGGACUGACACUGACACUGAGGUGCGAAAGCGUGGGUAGCAAACAGGAUUAGAUACCCCAGUAGUC
RNAcentral lists this ribosomal RNA (465 nucleotides) under Vreelandella stevensii. RNAcentral's name for it is "partial 16S ribosomal RNA". It matches the Rfam family "Bacterial small subunit ribosomal RNA", at positions 338 to 795 of the family's 1533-position model. The record is from RNAcentral. Lineage: Bacteria; Pseudomonadati; Pseudomonadota; Gammaproteobacteria; Oceanospirillales; Halomonadaceae.